CGCCGGUGCGGUGCAGGGAGCGCGGCUCCACACUCCACGCGACUUUGCGAGUGAAACAUUUCGCGGGUUUCGCGGACGCUGGGCGUGGGAUGGGGUUCCGCCGGCCGGAGGGGGAAUGGAAGGGAAACGUAGUGAGGGAAGACAACAGUAUUCCCGUUAAUUGAACGACUCUCGUGGAGAACGAGAGGGGUGGCUGCAAGACGAGGAGGCCCGGGACGCAGGGGGGCAGGAUUACUCGCAGUAAUUACUUAUUUUUAUUACGCUCCGCCUCUCUGCUUUCCCCCUCCCACCGCCUCGCCCGCGCCCCGUUGUCCUCCCCCCGUUGCUGCUCCGUGCCCGCACACUCCGCGACGGCCAAGACGACGAUGACGACGUCGACAACGAGAAUGACGACGACGACGUGGACGACGACGACGACAGCUGAGCCGUGCUUGCGGUGCCUCUUCGCCCCGCCCCUCGCCCCCCUCGCGCGGGCUCGCUGUCGCUCGCGCAACGUCACUUAUCGCUGGCCAACCACGAGCACCGCUGCUCCCCACGGAUCGGACCAUAUUUCGUCCCAGAUGUCUUUGAUGCGUAUCAAACCGAACGCUGGCCUACCGGAGAGCGCAGAUCUCCGCGACUAAUUAUCAACCGCGACCGAAUCCUGCCCGACCGUGGACCUCCGUCCCCAUCGCGUGCACGAAAGGAGCGAGGAUCGUGCCGGGCUGGGCCGAGCAUUCUUACCUCGCUGUUGAUCUUGCCCGAUGAAACACAAACACCUGCCAGCAAAAAAAACGUCUUGCGGCGGGAAAGAACAAGUAUCGAGAUCAACUCGACCUGUUCCAGAGAUGAGGACACGACCUUGUUCAGAACAGUGCCGUGGAGUUCGUUCCGAACAGAGAUUAACACGCGAAACAGGCGUUCAUCGUUAACCGCUUCUGCGAUAUCAGUGGAACCGGUGGACGUGCGUGGUUUUGAACCGCUCAACGUCCGUUCAAAUCCAGAGCUGAAAUUCUACAGAUACAGAAAUACUUCUCAACGAGAUAAAGAUGCAACAUCAACGUUUGAAUAAUGUUUCGACAUCGGAGCCAUUUGAAAAAUAAUGCAACGGUGACUCGAUGGUUAAUUAUCUUCGUUCACCGGCUGACAGGGCGGGUACCGUAGUAUCGCGCAACUUGGAACACCCGAAAGCCACCUGGCAACUGUGAUUGCAGCUGACAAGUGUCACCGUUAAGGACCAUCGAUCAACAGUUCGCGCGAAUCAACGGCCCAGAAGCGGGACAGCAUUCUUCCAUCCCCGAUGAACGCUCGUUUCAUGGAACGUCGGGCGUCAGUCAGCUCCCAUCUAAUCCAAUUGGCCCGCGUCUUCGUUUUUCCUAUCGCUGGACUUACUUUUACGAUCUUACAGGCAAGACUCCCAGCGACACGCUCCUCGAUUUCCGAUUUGCUCGACACAAGGAAUUCGAGCUCACGCGUGUCUCGAAUCGAACAUCCGCGAAGUUCUCGCGUCUCACGCUGGUUCGGAAAUUCGGUUUCUCUGUCCGAAAUUAUAUUUUUUCGAGCUUUAUAUAUAGUAAGAUACAUAUUUUUGUAAAAUUAUUGUACAUAUUUUUAUCAUAUUUGAAUGAAUAUUCAAAUAGCGUCACAUUGAUUGCAAUUCGAGUUUUACGAAAAAUGUAAAGAAGUGUGAGCACUAGAGUUUCUUUUACACGAAAAUUUAAACAAUUGCUAAGAAGACGAUGUCAAGUUUAGUUGCAACUUUUUGCAACCUUCGCGUAUAGAAUAAUUUAAACAAAGUUGCGAACAGUAUUUCGACGAUUGGAUAAAUCAAGCGGCAAGCCCACUUAUUGUCGUUGUCGUGAUCGUUGUCAUUAUUAUAAUGAUGAAUUUUUGUAGAAAAAUUAAAACUUGGCACGUUGACGUUAUUAAAUAUCAAGUUAAACUUUGAGUUUAACAAAAAAUGUAAGGAUGUGUGAGCAACGGAGUGUUUUUUACAUAAAAGUUUAAACAAUUGUUAGGAAGAGGAUAUCAAGUUUAGGUGCAACCUUUUGCAACCUUCGCGUGUAGAAUAAUUUAAACAAGGUUGCAAACAGUAUUUCGACGACUGGAUAAGUCAAGCAUUAAGCACGCUCGUUGUCGUCGUCAUAGUCGUUGUCAUUAUUAUAAUGAUGAAUUUUUGUAGAAAAACUAAAAUUUGAUACGUUGACGUUAUUAAAUAUCAAUUUAAACUUUUAGUUAAAAAGAAAAAUGUAAGGAAGUGUGAGCACUAGUGUGUUCUGUACACGACAGUUUAAACAAUUGCUAAGAAGAGGAUAUUAAGUUUAGGUGCAACUUUUUGCAACCUUCGCGUGUAGAAUAAUUUAAACAAGGUUGCAAACAGUAUUUCGACAACUGUAUGAGUCGAGCGGUAAGCGGGCUCGUUAUCGUCGUCAUUGUCAUUAUUAUUUUGAAUUUCUGUACAAAAAUUAAAACUACAUUUGUCUAGAUGACGUUAAAUAAAUAAAUAACUAAAAUAACCUUGUAACAAAAACACCGAAAAUUGAAUAAUUCUCAACUUAGUUUCUCGUCCCGAUUUUUCCAAGUUUCGAAAAUCGCAAAUUUCAAACAAUUUCAGAA
This is a long non-coding RNA of Megalopta genalis, 2595 nucleotides long. RefSeq lists it as uncharacterized. Lineage: Eukaryota; Metazoa; Arthropoda; Insecta; Hymenoptera; Halictidae. The record is from RefSeq and is a predicted model, not a curated record.